This 1027-nucleotide ribosomal RNA is filed under the name Coniochaeta arenariae. Its description in RNAcentral is "SSU rRNA". It matches the Rfam family "Eukaryotic small subunit ribosomal RNA", at positions 57 to 1098 of the family's 1831-position model. The record is from RNAcentral. Lineage: Eukaryota; Fungi; Ascomycota; Sordariomycetes; Coniochaetales; Coniochaetaceae.
GUCUAGUAUAGCAUUAUACCGCGAAACUGCGAAUGGCUCAUUAAAUCAGUUAUCGUUUAUUUGAUAGUACCUUACUACAUGGAUAACCGUGGUAAUUCUAGAGCUAAUACAUGCUAAAAAUCCCGACUUCGGAAGGGAUGUAUUUAUUAGAUUAAAAACCAAUGCCCUUCGGGGCUCUCUGGUGAUUCAUAAUAACUUCUCGAAUCGCACGGCCUUGCGCCGGCGAUGGUUCAUUCAAAUUUCUGCCCUAUCAACUUUCGACGGCUGGGUCUUGGCCAGCCAUGGUGACAACGGGUAACGGAGGGUUAGGGCUCGACCCCGGAGAAGGAGCCUGAGAAACGGCUACUACAUCCAAGGAAGGCAGCAGGCGCGCAAAUUACCCAAUCCCGACUCGGGGAGGUAGUGACAAUAAAUACUGAUACAGGGCUCUUUUGGGUCUUGUAAUUGGAAUGAGUACAAUUUAAAUCCCUUAACGAGGAACAAUUGGAGGGCAAGUCUGGUGCCAGCAGCCGCGGUAAUUCCAGCUCCAAUAGCGUAUAUUAAAGUUGUUGCAGUUAAAAAGCUCGUAGUUGAACCUUGGGCCUGGCUGGCCGGUCCGCCUCACCGCGUGCACUGGUCCGGCCGGGCCUUUCCCUCUGGGGAACCGCAUGCCCUUCACUGGGUGUGUCGGGGAACCAGGACUUUUACUUUGAACAAAUUAGAUCGCUUAAAGAAGGCCUAUGCUCGAAUACAUUAGCAUGGAAUAAUAGAAUAGGACGUGUGGUUCUAUUUUGUUGGUUUCUAGGACCGCCGUAAUGAUUAAUAGGGACAGUCGGGGGCAUCAGUAUUCAAUUGUCAGAGGUGAAAUUCUUGGAUUUAUUGAAGACUAACUACUGCGAAAGCAUUUGCCAAGGAUGUUUUCAUUAAUCAGGAACGAAAGUUAGGGGAUCGAAGACGAUCAGAUACCGUCGUAGUCUUAACCAUAAACUAUGCCGACUAGGGAUCGGACGAUGUUAUAUUUUGACUCGUUCGGCACCUUACACGAAAG